Molecule: ribosomal RNA, 292 nt
Filed under: uncultured fungus
Lineage: Eukaryota; Fungi
Description: partial 28S ribosomal RNA
Rfam family: Eukaryotic large subunit ribosomal RNA
Source: RNAcentral
UUGAUCUCAAAUCAGGUAGGACUACCCGCUGAACUUAAGCAUAUCAAUAAGCGGAGGAAAAGAAACUAACAAGGAUUCCCCUAGUAACUGCGAGUGAAGCGGGAAGAGCUCAAAUUUAAAAUCUGGCGUGCCUCUGGUCGUCCGAGUUGUAGUCUGGAGAAGCGUUUUCCGUGUUGGACCGUGUAUAAGUCUCUUGGAACAGGGCGUCGUAGAGGGUGAGAAUCCCGUCUUUGACACGGACUGCCAACGCUUUGUGAUGCGCUCUCAAAGAGUCGAGUUGUGUGGGACUGCA